Nelumbo nucifera (sacred lotus) is the source of this 1022-nucleotide non-coding RNA. NCBI's taxonomy places the organism in Eukaryota, Viridiplantae, Streptophyta, Magnoliopsida, Proteales, Nelumbonaceae. The record is from RefSeq and is a predicted model, not a curated record.
UUUCGACCAUCGGUGUUUUGGGCUUGAUACCGGGCCAUUGACGGAAGAGACAGUGUUGACCAUCCUAGAUCUGUUUAUAGACGGAAGCAACGUGCAUUCCGCAACCACCCCAUGUGGUCUUCUCACACGACGAACACCUCACAGACUGAUCUGAGAGACGAUGCCUUCACUUGGGAUCUCUUGCUUUUUGCGACGGACUCGGCGAAAUUGAAGAGAUGGAUGGCCCCUUCUCUACAAAUUUCCGAGAAACAAGAUUCUCUGAUUGACUAGGAGGUGGAGAAGACGUCUACGUGUGGGUUGGUAACUCGGAGACUUAAUGCCCCGGCCAGUGCGCCUGGUAGGGACGGUGACCAACCCAUUCAACAGCUAGUGGUUUCUUUCAAGGGCCACCGAGCGUGCCAUCAGAGGCCGUGCGCCAAUCCACCCAUUUCAGAGGACCAACCCCGGUAGGGACGGUGACCAACCCUUCUCCGCUUCUUCACUUGACCGAGAGGAAAAGUGGAUCCUCUACUACAUGUGACUCUGGUCGCAGACUUCGGCUAGUCUAAGAAGAGGAGGGGAGAUGAAGCGAACAAGGGAGAGAACAGAUCUUAUCGAUGUAACCGUUGGACAAAGACAUGCAGUCAGAGACGCGGGUAACCGCUGGACAGAGGAAGGAUCCAACAGAGAGACAAUUCUUGUGCAUCUCCAAGAGAGAGCACCUUUUGUAGCAUCAAGGCUCGAUGGGGGCUGGCGUGGGUCACCUGCCUACGUACUUGAAUCAAACUUUGUUGAACCAGAAUUGUGCUUCAUGCCUUCAUCUUUUUACUUGUUCAUGUCCAUUGAUUGUUAGUUUAACGUCUGCAAUUGAAUUUGGCAGCUUUGGGAUUUCAGGGGAAUUGUCCCACACAAAUACAAACUUUGGUGACAGCUUCCCCUCAGAUAAGGAAUCCAUAGGUGUGUGGUUGCAGAAGAGGCUGAGAGAGAGAAGGAAGCCUAUGUUUGUAAGGGGGUGUUUGUUUUUUAAACUUUGAGAGGGAGAA